This 539-nucleotide ribosomal RNA is filed under the name uncultured Geobacteraceae bacterium. RNAcentral describes it as "bacterial SSU rRNA". It matches the Rfam family "Bacterial small subunit ribosomal RNA", at positions 9 to 526 of the family's 1533-position model. Lineage: Bacteria; Pseudomonadati; Thermodesulfobacteriota; Desulfuromonadia; Geobacterales; Geobacteraceae. The record is from RNAcentral.
GAGUUUGAUCCUGGCUCAGAACGAACGCUGGCGGCGUGCUUAACACAUGCAAGUCGAACGUGAUUCAGAGCUUGCUCUGAUGAAAGUGGCGCACGGGUGAGUAACGCGUGGAUAACCUGCCCUGGUAUCCGGAAUAACAUCUCGAAAGGGGUGCUAAUACCGGAUAAGCCCACGGGAUCCUCGGAUUCUGCGGGAAAAGGUGGCCUCUAUUUAUAAGCUACCGUAUCAGGAUGAGUCCGCGUACCAUUAGCUAGUUGGUGGGGUAAUGGCCCACCAAGGCUACGAUGGUUAGCUGGUCUGAGAGGAUGAUCAGCCACACUGGAACUGAGACACGGUCCAGACUCCUACGGGAGGCAGCAGUGGGGAAUUUUGCGCAAUGGGGGAAACCCUGACGCAGCAACGCCGCGUGAGUGAUGAAGGCUUUCGGGUCGUAAAGCUCUGUCAGAGGGGAAGAAAUGAGACUGGCUAAUAUCCAGUUUUCUUGACGGUACCCUCAAAGGAAGCACCGGCUAACUCCGUGCCAGCAGCCGCGGUAAUAC